UACUCACCAUUCUCGACGUUUUUUUCUCCCCGCUUCUCUUCAUUUUCGUUUCUUUUCUUCUCCUUUCUCAAAUUUUCUUUCUUGUUGCAGCAACAACCUGCCACCGUUCCUUCUCAUCACCAACAUUUUCUUCUUAUUUACUACUAUCCCAUUCUCUCAUUCACGUCCCUACAGCACCCUCACCACUUUCUUUUCAUCUCCUUCCCAUCACCAUUAAAACACCACCACCAACAUAUCUUCUUCUUCUUCUUGAUUUAUUUCUGCUGCACACACUCACCAUCACUUUCUCCUCUUCAUGGAAGCCGUGAGACCACCACCACCACCAAGCUGCUACUCCUUCUUCCUCUACUCCACGCAAGCACCACAACCACCGGGAGCAAGCCACCACCUCUAUUCUCUUCAACCUUUUCUCAUCUCAAUUUUGAGCUUUUGAGUUAGAGGUUUGGAUCGAGUUGAGCUAAGGAAGGAAGAUUCAGAACAAGCUGUGAAGUUUCAGGAUAGAGGAGAAUAACCCAAGGCCCUAAUAGGUGUUGCUUCGAGUAGCUGUUGAUUGCUGCAAGGAGGUGAUUGGACUGAUUGACGAGAAGAUUUGCUUGGAGUGAGUGAACCAACCAAAGACUUGUAAAAUAAUAGUUAGAUGUAAGGCUGGAGCCUUGGGUAGAGAAGCUUACCGUCAUUGGUUGAAGCUUGUAAGGAAGAUUGUAAUACUUACUUUGGUCUUGGGUAGGUUCCGAUGCAUUACUCUUCUGCGAAUCUCCAGUGAGGGGAUUGUAGGAAGUAUAUUGGACUUAGGGUGUUAUCACAUUUUGAACUUUGUUGUCGGUUAAGAUAUUACUUCACUGUAUAUUUUAUACGACUUGAACAUCCGUCGUCACUCGCGGGUGCUUGCCUUGUCAAGGCCGGAUGUAAGGGUUUGGGUAAGAGUAUACAUAUCAGGUUUUGGAAAUAUUUUGGAAAGAAAGCAAACGAAAAAAAAUAUACCCACUUUUAUUAAAUCCUUGUUGGAAAAUAAUUUCAUUUUAUUUAAUAGGUUACUAAUUGUGACCCCCAAAAGUUGGGGUGUUACAUUGUGGUAUCAGAGCUUUGGUCGAGAAUACCAGAGCUUGUUGGGGAAUAGGUCUUCUGUGCUAGGUUGUGUGGGCUCUGAAAAGGGUCAAAACUUGAUUGUCUGCAAAGCGAUAUUCGCUUUAAUUGCUUGGGUUACUACUUAAUCGUAUUGGAUAGUUAUGUCUAACACUAACUUAUGAUUGAUAAAAACUGGUUUCUUGAAAUGGGAGGGCAUGACGAAUGUGCAUCGAUUAACGGAGGAAGUGGCCAGUAUGGCACGAGCAAUGAAAGAUCGAGACCGUGCUGGAGUAUGCUUCCAAGCUGGGGUUACUAGCAAAAACACUUUCAGUUCUUCAACAAUUACGUGGAUGAGCGCUACUUUUGCGACGAGUUCCUAAACUAAAGAUGUAGACCCUCGAUGAUGUUAUUGGGAAGGACUUUCUUAUAAUCUACGUUACGUUUGAAAGGAACUAGACUUAUGCAUGAUGCAUUUUGUUGAGUUGAAGACUCGCUAUUGAGUCACAAAGAUGGGGAAGUACACUGGCCAAGUCAAUACUUUCCCUGCGUUGAAUUUUUACUUAGUGGUUAUAUGUUGUGUUCACCCUCAGGGAUGGAAGAUGGUGGAACCGAACCAUUGGUCAGACCAAGAAGUGGACUGGACCGACGAUCUUAUACGGCGAUUUUGCCAUUGAUCGAACAAAUCUGGCGCUGGAUGGAGUCGUCAGUUAAACAAGAAUGGUGGAUGGGGCCAUUGUUCAGAACGAGAUGGUGGAUGACCAUCAGGAAAAGCAGGAUUUGGUUGGCUGGAACCAACGAUCUUAUACGGUGUUAGUACCACAGAUCGGACAAUUUCGAUGGUGGCAGGUAUCAUCGAGCGGGCGAGGUGGUGGAUUGGGCCACCGUGCGAGUCAAUAGGUGGAAUGAAUCCUUGAACUCGAAGUCCAUUGUUUUCCUGUGUCUGAGUUUGUGAUGUUGCAUCUGGAUCACCUGGGCGGGACGCCGAUCAGUGUGUUUCAGUAUGGGCAUGACACUUGUUUAAUUUGUAUUUUGUUGGCCUUUGGGGAGGAUGGACCCUAACUGUGCCUAUUGUCGGUUUGGUGGAUGGACCUAUACCGCGUGUAUAAAUCGAUUGAGAGGAUAGACCUCAAUCGUAUCUUGCUGGUUGUUGGAUGGUAACGACCGGUCUUUGAAACACUUCAGCAAGUGCAGAUGUUGAAGCUGUCAUGGUGGAAAUGAUUCAUUGGCCGUAUCGGUAAAUUUUUCAAACUCUCAUUUUCUUGAUAAAAAGUCUGAUCAGCUUUAUAUUGGGGAAUGGUUUUUGGGAUCAUGGCUGGUAUUGGACUUUGGAAACAAAUGCUUGGGAAACAAGAUUCUUGAGAAGGUAUGAUGGAGUCGGACAACAUCGAGUUGAAGGACGACUUGUCAUGCGUGACGAAGGGUUUAGCCCGGAGGAAGCCAUUUGGAACAAGGACAUAGGCGAUGCUACAUGGGAACUUAAGGAAGAGAUCAAGGGAUAAUAUCUGGAAUCUUUACUGAAGCGUAAGUUUCGAGGUCGAAACUUUCUUUUUGGAGGGUAGUAAUGUGAGACCCAAGAUUUUGAGCUUAGAAUAAAUUAGUGAAAUUCCUUAUUAACGAAUAAGUUCGAUGUAUCGUGAAGGGAAACCUGAACGAGAGUUUAUUGGAUGAAAUAGAUUUAUGAAGGAGAAGGUUCAGGAAAAGUUCAAGGAUUGUAUCAAAACCGAUAAGAGUUAUAGCACGACUAAUAUUCGCCUAAACCUAGGUCAAAGACACUAGUAAAUAGCUAAUUUACACUUUAGGACGCGACAGAAACUAAUUCCAAAAAUCUUCAGAGAAAUGUUAGAACUUCUCUUAUUCAUCUAUAAACAAGCGUUUCGAUACGAAACCCUGGAAUGUACGAACGUCAAAUUCCAAUUCUCGGAAGUUUGCCGAAACGGAAUCCCUGAUAGUUCAGAAACCCUAAAAUCGACGGACGAUGAAGACUUUUUCUAUUCGGAGCAGCAAACGAAGAUUCCACACGCGAACACCCAUUUCUCUUGAUGUUUCCAAUCUUUUUUCAGAAGGAAGUUUCUUCAUUCGACGUCAAACGCAAAAAGUAGUUUUGCGGCAUAUUUCAACCCAUACUACGUUCAAGCUAUUUUCUCACUUAAAUGAACCAGGAACAAGUAUCGACAUUUUAUAGAGAGAUACUUAACUCUGAUGCAUAAUAUGACAACUUCAUAUUUGUUCUGAUCGUCUCACAAAUAUUCUUUAGCUCAGUUUUUACUCAUUUCUUUGUCAAUGGAUCAUUUUAAUUUGCUCAAAGUGAUCCAAACUUAUAUUUCAUUAUUUCAUAGAGUCUCUCAUAAUUUUUAGGAUAAUAAUAUAUCAACUCUAUAUUUUUCUCUUAACUCUACGAGUUAAAUCCUACAGUGUCUAAACCAAUUCGUACUGGUAAUUAUCAUCUUAUAAUAUAUAUAUAUAUAUAUAUAUAUAUAUAUAUAUAUACUCCUCUACUCACCAUUCUCGACGUUUUUUUCUCCCCGCUUCUCUUCAUUUUCGUUUCUUUUCUUCUCCUUUCUCAAAUUUUCUUUCUUGUUGCAGCAACAACCUGCCACCGUUCCUUCUCAUCACCAACAUUUUCUUCUUAUUUACUACUAUCCCAUUCUCUCAUUCACGUCCCUACAGCACCCUCACCACUUUCUUUUCAUCUCCUUCCCAUCACCAUUAAAACACCACCACCAACAUAUCUUCUUCUUCUUCUUGAUUUAUUUCUGCUGCACACACUCACCAUCACUUUCUCCUCUUCAUGGAAGCCGUGAGACCACCACCACCACCAAGCUGCUACUCCUUCUUCCUCUACUCCACGCAAGCACCACAACCACCGGGAGCAAGCCACCACCUCUAUUCUCUUCAACCUUUUCUCAUCUCAAUUUUGAGCUUUUGAGUUAGAGGUUUGGAUCGAGUUGAGCUAAGGAAGGAAGAUUCAGAACAAGCUGUGAAGUUUCAGGAUAGAGGAGAAUAACCCAAGGCCCUAAUAGGUGUUGCUUCGAGUAGCUGUUGAUUGCUGCAAGGAGGUGAUUGGACUGAUUGACGAGAAGAUUUGCUUGGAGUGAGUGAACCAACCAAAGACUUGUAAAAUAAUAGUUAGAUGUAAGGCUGGAGCCUUGGGUAGAGAAGCUUACCGUCAUUGGUUGAAGCUUGUAAGGAAGAUUGUAAUACUUACUUUGGUCUUGGGUAGGUUCCGAUGCAUUACUCUUCUGCGAAUCUCCAGUGAGGGGAUUGUAGGAAGUAUAUUGGACUUAGGGUGUUAUCACAUUUUGAACUUUGUUGUCGGUUAAGAUAUUACUUCACUGUAUAUUUUAUACGACUUGAACAUCCGUCGUCACUCGCGGGUGCUUGCCUUGUCAAGGCCGGAUGUAAGGGUUUGGGUAAGAGUAUACAUAUCAGGUUUUGGAAAUAUUUUGGAAAGAAAGCAAACGAAAAAAAAUAUACCCACUUUUAUUAAA
Molecule: long non-coding RNA, 4553 nt
Organism: Lotus japonicus
Lineage: Eukaryota; Viridiplantae; Streptophyta; Magnoliopsida; Fabales; Fabaceae
Exons: 5
Source: RefSeq, a predicted model, not a curated record